GCCNUCGGGGCCCACCUCCCACCCGUGUUGCCCGAACCUAUGUUGCCUCGGCGGGCCCCGCGCCCGCCGACGGCCCCCCUGAACGCUGUCUGAAGUUGCAGUCUGAGACCUAUAACGAAAUUAGUUAAAACUUUCAACAACGGAUCUCUUGGUUCCGGCAUCGAUGAAGAACGCAGCGAAAUGCGAUAACUAAUGUGAAUUGCAGAAUUCAGUGAAUCAUCGAGUCUUUGAACGCACAUUGCGCCCUCUGGUAUUCCGGAGGGCAUGCCUGUCCGAGCGUCAUUGCUGCCCUCAAGCCCGGCUUGUGUGUUGGGCCCCGUCCCCCCCGCCGGGGGGACGGGCCCGAAAGGCAGCGGCGGCACCGCGUCCGGUCCUCGAGCGUAUGGGGCUUCGUCACCCGCUCUAGUAGGCCCGGCCGGCGCCAGCCGACCCCCAACCUUUAAUUAUCUCAGGUUGACCUCGGAUCAGGUAGGGAUACCCGCUGAACUUAAGCAUAUCAAUAAGACGGGAGGAAACCGAGUGCGGGCCCCUCGG
RNAcentral lists this ribosomal RNA (534 nucleotides) under Penicillium citrinum. RNAcentral's name for it is "eukaryotic LSU rRNA". The stretch from base 129 to 282 matches the Rfam family "5.8S ribosomal RNA". Lineage: Eukaryota; Fungi; Ascomycota; Eurotiomycetes; Eurotiales; Aspergillaceae. The record is from RNAcentral.